CAAGUCGCACGGUGGCAGCAAUGCCACAGUGGCGAACGGGUGAGUAAUGAAUCGCUAACGUACCCCGGACUCCGGGAUAGCCAUCCGAAAGGGUGGGUAAUACCGGUUGACGUGCCGCCAGGGCAUCCUGGAGGCCCCAAAGGUCCGCCGGUCUGGGCGCGGGCGAUUUCGUAUCAGCUAGUUGGUGCGGGUAACGGCCCACCAAGGCGACGACGCGUAGCCGGACUGAGAGGUCGGCCGGCCACAUCGGGACUGAGACACUGCCCGGACUCCUACGGGGGGCUGCAGUAACGAAUCUUCCCCAAUGCACGAAAGUGUGAGGGAGCGACGCCGCGUGUGGGACGAAGUCCUUCGGGAUGUAAACCACUGUCAGGGGAUACCAAGUUCUGAGGAUCCCCAGAGGAAGGGGCGGCUAACUCUGUGCCAGCAGCCGCGGUAAGACAGAGGCCCCGAGCGUUAGGCGGAAUCACUGGGCUUAAAGCGUGUGUAGGCGGACCGGUAAGUACCUUGUGAAAUCCCACGGCUCACCCGUGGAACUGCUGGGUAUACUGCCGGUCUUGGGCCAACUAGGGGCGACUGGAACAAGCGGUGGAGCGGUGAAAUGCGUAGAUAUCGCUUGGAACGCCGACGGUGAAAACAGGUCGCUUGGGGUUGUGCCGACGCUGAGACACGAAAGCCAGGGGAGCGAACGGGAUUAGAUACCCCGGUAGUCCUGGCCCUAAACGAUGUCCACUAGAUUGCGGCGGGUUUUGACCCCGUCGCGGUCGGA
RNAcentral lists this ribosomal RNA (769 nucleotides) under uncultured bacterium. RNAcentral describes it as "bacterial SSU rRNA". It matches the Rfam family "Bacterial small subunit ribosomal RNA", at positions 58 to 850 of the family's 1533-position model. The record is from RNAcentral.